This 672-nucleotide long non-coding RNA is filed under the name Olea europaea subsp. europaea. The record is from RNAcentral. Lineage: Eukaryota; Viridiplantae; Streptophyta; Magnoliopsida; Lamiales; Oleaceae.
CUACUCGAAAUAAGUUACUUAGGUUUAACUAAUUGCAGUUGACUCUAAAAAACUACCUAUUAUAGCUAUGUAAUGGAACCGACUGCAAGGAAAGGUUAGUCAUGGUAUUGGAUUAAACCCCGUAAAAAACUGGGUGAAGGAUCUUCGAAACAAGAUCCUAAGAAACCAGGCAAGACUCUAUCAAAAAUUUCAGAAGAUCGAGCUAGGGAACAUAAUGGUUGACAUAGAGGAUAACUGAACACACACACCUCAAGAGUCAGACAUUAUUUAAUUCACAUGGGACCCGCACACUUUGUGAGUAUCGGUCACUCCGGCUGUCAAACAUUUUCGAGCAAAGUGACAUUUUUCAAUUUCAGAACCUCUUAACAAAGAAAAGAAGCUAAAUCAAAAUAUAAAUCUAUCCACCAAUUCAUUAGAACAUGAAAUCAGAAUUUCUCAAGUUCGAUAUCUCAAUCAUAAGUUUUCUAAAAGAAAGAAGAGAGCAGUAAAAUCAAGGCAAAGAGCUAAUUACCUUUCAAUUAUUGAAACUGCCUUCAAUUGAUUGGGAAGAAAAUUGAUCUCAGAAAUCUCCCUUAGUAGCAAACCUCUCUGUUUUGAACGGCAACGCAAAAAUUCAUUCAAUUGUCGCAGCAUAUUAUUGGCCAAUUUUAAUUACGAAACAGAACAUCCAAA